CUCCAGCCACCGUGUUGGGUGUCUCACCCUGUCCAACCCCUGAUCUUUAUUGUGGACCAGGCUAUAGACAGAUCUUUGUCAGCUGCCCCUGCUGAAGAGGACUGGCCUUUCAGUGGCCCUCGUGGAACGGUAGGAAGCUGAGCUGGACUCUCUGCCACAUCGUUCGGUUCCCACAACAGCCUGAAAUGGGGUCUUGCCUUGUUGCCCAGGCUGGAGUGCAGCAACGUGAUCAUAGUUUACUGUAGCCUGGGCUCAACUCCUGGGCUCCAGUGAUCCUCCCGCCUCAGCCUCACAAGUAGCUGGGACCAUAGGUGUGAGCCACUGUGUUUGGCUGUAAUCGUUGUUAUUGUAGGCGCAUGUGCAUGAGGACCCUCCCUUCUUAGGCUCCUGACUCUACUUUGCUUGGGUUUGAAACAAGUGACUCCAUCUUGAAAUGGACAACUGGCACAGAAUAGAGCAUUUCAAGGGCAGAUUAGAUGGCAACUUAAAAAAAAGGUAAAGAAAAAUUAAAGAAAAAAUUAAAGGUAAGGAAAAAUUUACACUUUCUAGGAACUUCACGAAGGAAGGGAAACAUGAGACAAAGAAAGAGAAGUGGUUAUCAGAAACUAAACUGCACGAGGCUUGUGAGGUUUCUCAUGUUCCUCCUGGAACUUCCUCCUAGACUGUAUUCUGCCAUCUGCUCUGGGGUCACGAGGGAAAGGGCCCCUCUCCUUUCAUGGCCUAGAAAGCGUGGCUCUGAGCCAUUCUUUGGGCUGAGGUGGGUGUCUGGGGUGCUGGUGGGGACAGCCAGGCCCUGCCUUCCUGGGUACCUCUUGCUGCUUGUCAACAGACCCUGCCCUCCAUACUGUGAGGGAUUGAAGGAUUAACUCCAAUUCUUUCCUGUCCUCCAUUCAUACCCAUGCCAUUGCUCAUCUUGGGCGGACUGUAUUUCCCUGCCCAUUGAGUUUCGGUUUGGUCUUGUGACUUGCUUUGGCCACUAGAAUGGGGCAAAGUGAGAGGGUUCCCGUUCUCAGCCUGCCCCUUGUAAGACCCUGCAGGCUUCUGCUGGCCUCCUGGGUUUCUGCCCUUGCCUGGGGGCUUUCCCUGGGUGGUUUCGGUUCCUUCUACUUGGUACCUGAAAUGAAGACAUGUGGGACAAAGCCACUCCAGCUGACCUAGAGAUCAACAAGAUGAAGCCAGUAGACCCACAGAUGACUGAGAAAUGUGUUUAUUGCUGUAUCUGUGCCAUGUCGAUUUUUGUGGUUGUUUGCUGUAUGUCACUAUUUUGGCAAUAGCUAUAUAUUCCCUUUUCCUUCUUCUCUGUGCUCUGGUCUGAAUUAAUGCCUCUUUGUUUCAUCUCAUUUCCCAUUGCUUUUCACUUUAUUAUAAAAGCACUGCAAUUUAUACAUUGAAGCAGAAAAGAAGGGUGGAAUCCCCAUAAUUCCAUACCCUUCUGUGAAUACACUGGUGUCCAGACUGUUGGAAUAUAUUCAUUUAUUCUCUCUUCAUAUGUACAUUUAAAAGAUGAAUCAAUUCUUUUUUUUUUAAAAGCAAAUUGUUUCAUUUAACAAUACAUGGUAAAUAUACUUGGUGUUAGUGCUGUCUUCAGGGUUCCGUGGAGCGUUUUACAGUCUUCUUUUUAGCACCCUCCUAAAGAUGUUGAAGGAGGUGGGUGAUGGGGUUGCCUGACUCCUUCACCAGGAGCAUCCUCACAUCCAUCUCUUUCACACAUUGGGGUUUCACAUGCGCGUUUAUUUGCAAAACAGGGCUCUGCUACAAAAAUCACCAGUUGAAAAUCACCAAUCUAAAAACUGCUUUUUAUGUGUUUUAAUGAUAUACCAUGCAACAUUAUUAUAACCAAUCCCUUAUUUGAAAAUUUAGGUUGUUUUGGGUUUUAUAAUUAAAAUCACAUGCUUAUGGCAUAUAUUUGUGUAUACUCUUAAUUAUUUCCUUACAAUAAAUUAUUAGAAGUGGACAUAUAAUUUCUAUAAGUGUAGGUAUAAAAUCCUGGCAGUAGAAUUUCUAAAAGUGGAAAGCAUAUGUUCAUGUAAAGGCUGCUAAAUUGCCAAAAUACCCUCCCAAAACCUUAUCAGUUACUCUUCCACUGGCAGUGAUGCCAGGUAGAACCUCUGACUGUUUGGCAAAUGAAUGUUUGUAUCUUGUGGCUUUAAAUUACUGUUCUUUACUAAUUAAAUGAGGCUAUUUCUUCAUAUAGUUAUUACCAUUUGCAUAUCUUGUCUUGUGAAUUUUUUGUUUAUGUGCUUUGAGCAUUUUUUUUGACUAGGAUGUCAUCUUUUUCUCAUUGAUUUAUAAUACCACUUAUAUAUGCUAUGUUAGAAAGAAUGCUGGAUUAUAAUUUGAUGUAUUAAGAUGGUCUGGCUGGCAUUACAGAUUAGUAGAGAGUAGAGGAUGAAAUAUCCAAUAAGCAGUGCUAGGACAACUAAUUAUUUAUAUGAAAAAAUAAAAUUUUAUAUAUAUAAUUUUUUAAAUUAUAAAUUUUAUAAUUAUAAAUUAUAAAAAUAAGAACACUCUGUUGCUCAGGCUGGAGUGCAGUGGUGCGGUCUUGGCUCACUGCAACCUCCACCUCCCAGGUUCAAGUGAUUCUCCCGGCUCAGCCUCUCGAGUAGCUGGUAGGUGAGCCCCACCAUGCCCCCACUAAUUUUUUGUAUAGAGAUGGGGUUUCACCCUGUUGGCCAGGCUGAUCUCGAACUCCUGACCUCAAGUGAUUCACCCACCUCGGCCUCCCAAAGUGCUUGGAUUACAGGCGUGAGCCUCCGGGCCGGUCAUAAAAUUACAUUUUUAUCUCACUCUAUUCACAAAAAAUUCCACUGUGAAAAAAAAUAAAGCUUCCAGAAGAAAUAUGAGGAAGAUUUUCCAGUUUUUAAGGUACACAAAAAAAGCACAAAUCAUAAGAGAAAAUAUUGAUAAUUUUGACCAGAUCAAAGUUCUGUAUAAUAGAAGACAUUAUAAACUACAUCAAAAUACAAGCCACAGACUUUGAAAAGACACCUGCAAAGCAUAAAAUAGUGAAUUAUUAGUACAGAUGCUCCUUGAUUUACGAAGGGAUUAUGUCCUGAUAAAUUCAUUGUAAGUUGAAAAUAUAAAUGGAAAAGGCAUUUAAUAUAUCUAACCUAUGGAACAUCAUAGCUUAGCCUAGCCUACCUUAAACAUGCUCAGAACAACCACCCGAGCCUAUAGUUGGGCAAUAGUCAUCUAACACAAAGCCUAUUUUAUAAUAAAGUAUUGAAAAAUCUCAUGGAAUUUAUGAAAUACUGUGGAGCGUUAUGAGAAAGUAUUGUACUGCGUAUUGCUAGUCUGGAAAAAGAUCAAAAUUCAAAAUGCAAAGUACAGUUUCUACUAAAUGCAUAUCGCUCUCUACUAUUGUAAAGUUGAACAAUUGUAAGUCAAACAAUCCUAAGUGUAAGUCAGGGACUAUUUGUACAUAGAACAUAGAAAAAUGGAUGUGGUGUCUCACACCUAUAAUCCCAGCACUCUGGGAGGCCGAGGUGGGAGGACUGCUUGAGCUCAGGAGUUUGAGAUCAGCCUGGGCAACAUGGCGAAAGCCCAUCUUACAAAAAAAUACAAAAAUUAGCUGAGCAUGGUGGUGCAAGCCUGUAGUCACAGCUACCUGGGAGAUUGAGUUGAGAGGAUCACCUGAGCCCAAGAGGCCGAGGCUGCAAAGAUCCGAGAUUGCACUACUGCACACUAGCCUGGGCAACAGAAUGAGAUCUUGUCUCAAAAAUAAAAAAGAAGAACAUAUAAAAAUGUGGAACAUAAAAUAUAGGAUAUAAGAAACAUACAGCAUAUCAAAUGCCUAUAACUUAAUAAGGAAUGUGCAGACAACCCAAUAAAAAAUUGGGCAAAGGAUAUGAACAGGCAAGACACAGAAGACAUUUAAACAUUUAAAGCAUGCUCAGCCUCACAGCUAAUCAAACAAUCUGAUACCAUCUCACACCCACCAGUCUGGCAAUAAAGUCUGAUAAUACCAGCUAUUGGUGAAGAUGUAGAGAAAUGAUAACUAUCAACCACUGUCAAACACAAAUGUAAGUUUUUAUAAACAGGACAGCAAUGUGAUGAUAUCCAGUGAAUUUAAAAAUGUGCAUUCCCUAGGACAAAGAAAUUUAACUUUACAGUAUAGACUCCAGGGGAGCUCUCAUCUGUAUUUGUGUUAAUUGUAACCUUAUUUGUAGUAGGAAAAAUUGGAAGCAGCCUGUAGGUUCAUCACUGGAAGGGUAUAUAAAGGGCUACAGCUGUAUCUGAAAUAUUUUCACUUAAAAAAUCUGGAGCAAAAAUGACAAACUGCUUAGACUUAAUGAGCUGGGUGUUGAGUACACGGGUUAUUUUCCAUGCUUGUUCACACACUGUGCAAUACCUUGUUUUAAAAAGAUGAUAUUGUAUUAGGAACCCAGGAAUACCCUGAUCCAGCUCCAGACCACAGUCAAUCCUCCUUAUUUUGUCUAGGCUGACCCUGGGGCUGGAAUCUGUGGCACCUUCAAAAAGAGUGAUGUGGAGGGUAGAAAGAAGCGUCACCUGUGGCAGGAAUUGCAGAGCAGUAAGGAAAAUGGGCAUAGGGAAAUCUCAUUUGUUUUAUGACAGUUUUGAGAUAUAAUUCACAUGCCACAAAAUUCAACCAUUUAAAGUGUACAAGUCAAUAGUUUUUAGUAUAUUCACAGAUAUGUGCAACCCAGCACCACAGUCAGCCUCAUAACAUUUCUAUCGCCUUGUAUAGAAACUCUGUACUUUAAGGAUCACUCUUCAUCCUCCCAUCUCCUCCCAGCUCUAAGCAACCACUCAUCUACUUUCUGUCUCUAUAGGUUUGACUAAUCUGAACAUUUGAAGUAAGUGGAAUCAUAUAAUAGGUGGCCUAAUGUUUUCAAGGUUCAUCCAUGUUGGAUCAUGUAUCAGUACUUCAUCCCUUUUUAGGGCCAAAUAAUAUCCUCUUGUAUGGAAAUACUGCAUUUUGUUUAUCCAUUUAUCAGUUGACGUUGAGUUGUUUCCACUUUUUGCCUAUUAUAAAUAAUGCUGCUACAAACAUGCAUGUACUACUUUUUGAGUAGACAUGUUUUCCUUUUUUGGGUAAAUACGUAGGAAUGUCAUUGCUGGAUCAUUUGAUUAUGUUUCACCAUAUGAGGAACUGCUAGACUGUUUUCCAAAGUGACUGCACAAUUUUACAUUCCCACCAGUGAUGUAUGAAGAUUCCAAUUUCUCCACAUUCUCACCUCUUCCACAUUCUCCUGAUCCUCACUCUCUUGUUAUCUGACUUUCUGAUUACAGCCAUGCUUGUGGGUAUGAAGUCGUGUUCUCUUUUGGUUUUGAUUUGCAUUUCCUUUAUGACUAAUGAUGUUACACAUCUUUUCAUGUGCUUCUUGGCUAUUUGUGGGACUUCUUUGGAGAAAUGACUAUCCAUAUCAUUUUCCCAUUUUAAAAAAUUGGGUAAUUUGUCUUUUUAUUAUUGAGUCAUAACAUUUCUUUAUAUAGUCUAGAGACAAGUUCCUUAUGAGAUAUGUGAUUUUCAAAUGUUUCUCUCAUUCCGUGGUUUGUAUUUUCACUUUUUAAGUAGUGUCUUUUGAAGUACAAAAGUUCUGAUUUUGAUAAAGCCCAAUUUAUCUAUUUUUUCUUUUGUUGCUCAUGCUUUUGAUGUCAUAUCUAAGAACCUAUUGUCAAAUCCAAUCAUGAAGAUUUGCGACCAUGUUUUCUAAAAGUUGUAUAGUUUUAGCUCUUAUGUUUAGGUCUUUGAUCCAUCUUGAGUUAAUUUUUGUAUAUGGUGUGAAGCGAGAGUUCAAUGUCAUUAUUUUAUAUGUGGCUAUCCCAUUAUCUCAGUAUGAUUUGUUGAAAAGACUACGUUUUUCCCCCAUUGAAUGGUUUUGGCACUCUUGUUGAAAAUUAAUUGACCAUAUAUGUGAGGGUUUAUUUCUGGACUCUUAGCUCUAUUUUAUUGAUUUAUAUGUUUAUCCCUAUCUCAGUAUCACACUAUCUAGAUUACUGCUGCUUUGUAGUAAGUUUGGCAAUCAGGAAGUAUGAAUCCUCCAGUUUGUUCUUUUGUCAGAGUAUUUUGGCUAGUCUAGGUCCCUUGAAUUUUUAUAUGAAUUUUAGAAUUAGCUUGUUAACUUCUACAAAGAAGCCACCUGGGAUUCUAAUAGGGCUUUCUUGAAUGUAUAGAUCAAUUUUGGGAGUAUUGCCAUAUUAACAAUCUUAAGUUUUUUGAUCCGUGAAUAUGGUAUAUUUUUCAUUUAUGUAGACCUUUAAUUCUUUCAACUACGUUUUAUAGUCUUUAAAGUAUAAAUUUUAAACUUUUAUUAAAUUUAUUUCUCUUGUUCUUUUUGGUGCUAUUAUAAAUGGAAUUGUUUCAACUUUAUUUUCAGAUUGUGCAUUGUUUUGAGAUAUAAUUGGUUCUGUAUAUUGACCUUGUAUCCUGUAAGCUCGAUGAAAUUACUUAUUAAUUCUAAUAGUUUUAUUUAGUAGAUUCCUUAGGAUUUUCUGUGUAGAAAAUUUCUAUGUAAUUUGUGAAUAGAGAUAGUUUUAUUUCUUCCUUUCAAAUAUGGAUGCCUUUUUUGUGUGUGUGCUUAAUUGCCCUGGCUAGAAUGUCUACUUAAUGCUGAAUAGAUGUGGCAAGAACAGCCAUCCUUGGCUUGUGUCUAAUCUUGAGGGAAAGCAUCCAAUCUUUGACUAUUAAGUAUAAUUUUAUCUGUGUGUUUUUUGGUAGAUUCCUUGUAUCAAAUUGAGGAAGUCUCCUUCCAUUCCUAGUUUAUGAAGUGUUUCAUUACAAAAAAGCAUUAGAUUUUGUCAAAUAUUUGUUCUGUAUCUGUUGAGAUGGUUAUGUGUGUGUAUGUGUGUGUUCUUAAAAGUCUUUUGAUAUGGUGUAGUACAUUAAUUGAUUUUCAGAUGUUAAACCAACCUUGCAUUCCUGGGAUAAUUCCCACUUUUUCAUGGUGUAUAAUUCUUUUUCUAUAUUUAUGGAUUUGGUAUGCUAGCAUUUUGUUGAGGACUUUUGCAUCCACACAUCUAUAUUCAUAAGAGAUAUUUGUUGUUCCCUUCCCUUCCCCUUCUCCUUCUCCUUCUGCUUCCUCUUCCCCUUCCCCUUACCCCUUGCAGGUCUUCAGGAGUGCCUUUCACCAGUCCUUAGUCCUGGCCCACUGGCCUCUUGGGUCUGCCUUUCUUUUCAGCUUCCACAGGGAGCUUGGGGUGUGGGAAUCUGCGCUGAGGCCCCUGUGCUGCCUGCCCAGGAUCCCUGGGGAGCCACUUCUCUCAGGGGUCUCCCAGCACCUUUGCUGUGCUGCUGGGAAGUGGGAUGCGGCCCCUUCUCUCAGGGCUUCCUGGCCUGCCUCUCACUUGCCUUUCUCAUUCCAUCAAGUAUGUGGGUAGCAGGAAGGGGAAACUCUGGGGCCUGAGGGUACCCCCUACCUUCAUCUUCCUGGCCAUGUGUGUUCUCACAUCCCCUCCUCUGGCCAUCUCUCUGAGGCUGAUGCUGUUGGAAACAAGGUCAAGGCGCCUCUCAGGCCUUUUCUUCUUCUGAUUCUAUCCCUCUCUUCCGGCAAAGAGCAGGAGCCUGCUAGUGCCUACAUGGGAGGGCAGGGCCACCAGGGCGACAGUGUUGUGUGUGCGGGUGGAAGCACAGGGAGCUAUCUAUUGUGAUGAACCCCAGCAAGGAGGGAGGAAUGUGGCUACGAGCGAUGCCUGGAUUGCUGCUUGAUUUUUCUAACACUUUCCUACUUCUCGCCUGCAGAUGAAGCAGCAGCAGAAAAAAUGGAAGCCAUUUUGGUUAACGGGUCACAUCUUAGCAGUUGGCAGCGUAAGAAGCGGAAGGAUCCACUGGUCAGAAAUGGAGAUUGAGGAGAAGCUGAGAGCACGGAGGGCUUCAGGGGAGAGCCUGUCCUUUGGAAAAGCGGGCAAUUUGCACUCGUGGUAGAUGAGUGGGGAGGCCGCUCAGUCUCUCUGCCCCUUUGCACAUGCUGCACCCGUUUAGUUUGACGUCGUGGAGAGCUCCUCCAGGCACGGGCUGUGUGAAAGGGUUUAAAAGUUUGGGGGCAUGGCUGGGGGUCCCCGCAUGAGGGGUGCUGUGUAGGCUCCCAUCUUUUCUGCCGGUCAUGCUGGGAGCCAACAGCACCGGCUCCUGACGUGGGGACUUGCCCUGUGCCAUGACGUGGGGACUCGCCCUGUGCCCUGCGCCCCGGUUCCUGCUGGUUCUGUGCCUUCUGGACUCAUUUCCUUUCCAGGGUCCGCAACCGCUUCCGACACAAUCACUAUUUUGGCUGCGGCCACGGCUUCAUUCGCUUCAGCUGCGAGCUUUUCUCAGCGCAGAGAGCACAGGGAAGCUGGGAGGAGUCCGCCUAGAUGGGUAAGGACGGUAUUUUUGGCAGCAGUUCCGGGGACCCUCCCCUGAUCAGCCUGCACUUCCGCCCUGGGUUGAGGGGAGCAUUUCCAGCGAGGGGGCGAAGAGGUGAGAGCAGCUGGGGAGAGCCAGGGGCUGAGGGCCCUUUGCUUUCUGAAGUGUGGCGUCAUCACGGGUGCUGAAGGAGACACAGGGUGGCUGCGUGAUCAGUCUCUGCCCUGGAAUCUCUGUGUUCAGCCCAUGUCAUCUUCUCAGGAGUGAUGGAAGCUCCCACUGGAGAACACUUUCUGGUCUUGAGCCCCCCGAUCUCUUGAUCCCUAUGGCAGUGAGCCCCGACUCUUGCUCUGGUCGCCACUGGAUCAUCUGUGGGUGUUGGCAGGAACCUGAAGGUGUUGGAAGGGGUUGAGGGUAACGCAUAGCCUGUGCUAGAAUAUGUGGGGGAAUGUCCACAGGAGACGGGAUGGAAGAGAGAGAAGAGGACGCCCCUGCUUCCAGGGGCAAGUGGGUACAACCAGAGGACGGGACAAUGUUCCCCUGGAGAAUGGCCCAGGCUCCAUCUAGACCUGGCUGGUCCCAGUCCCAGGCUUGUCCUAGGUCCUUGGCAUCCGUGCUGGUAGCAACCCCAGGGCCACCCUCAGCGUCUCAUGACGUCUACCCUUCUCUGGCCCCUGUAGAAAUUAUGUUCAAGAGAAAACACCCGGGGGGUCACAAUGAUAACAAUAACACCACCACCUGUGCCCCGUGGGUGUGAGGCUGUCAUGGAGAAAGCAGAGCUCCUGAAGGGGCCUCAGCUGAGAAACGGCUAGAAUUUCCUGUGUGGGUUGUGGGGAGUGACUAUGGAAUUCAGAGGCAGAGCGGAAUCUACUUGGGCUGUUGUGGCAGGAACCUAGACUCCAGAGGGACCCUGGUUAGGCUCUCAGAGAAGGGAGCCCCGGAAAGUGAGCCAAGGAACGGGCCUUUGUCCCCAAGGCUGGAGCCACAGGCUCUGUUUCCCUGGCCAGAGGCAAGGGGGGCCCUUUGGGGUCUCAUGGUUCAGGUGGCCUCUUCUUUCUUAGGCCUCUUCCUCCAGAUCCCCACUCCCCCCACGGGGCACAGCCCCAUGUGUGGAGUCGGCCUUGACUCUGCCCUUCAGUCUCCCUGCCCAGAGCCGGCUGCACCGGCUGUCAUUCCCCAGUCCCGCUUCCCGCAGGCCCCUACCCAGAUACUGAUGCUGUGGCACCCACCACCACAUGGGGGACCCUGGGCAAAGCGUUAGUGCUUGACAGACAUUGGGUCCUCCGGUCCCCCUCCAGUGCCAUGAGCUAACAGUUGUAUCCCCAUCACACAGAUGACAAAACUGGGAGGCAGCACGGUUCAUGAGCUUGUGCAAGUUCACACAGGGCGUGAUUGACGGGGCUGGGAUUCAGAUGCAGUUAGGACACUGCCUUAUCUCAGGCUCUGCUGCUCCCCAGACUUCUUGGCCCUGACGCUCCUUUCGAGGUUAUGGAACUCUCUUGAAUGUCUCUGUUGGCUGCAGCCAGCCAAUUAAUUACCCUGCAUGAAUGGGGACUAUGGGUGACAGUUUCCGCUGUCCCAAGUUCUGGCUGAAGUCUCCAUUCUAUUGGGUUAGGGGCCAGAUGCCUGAGGACCUGCAGGAGGCCAGGGCUGCAUGCUGAAUGAGAACUUUACCUGGGCCACCAAGUCCUUCUGAGCACAGGUGCUGCUCCCUGCAGUCAGGACAUGCUGGCCGGGGUCUCUGACCUUCACCUGGAAUGCUCCUGGAAGCCCCUGUGUGACAAUCUCCACCACAGUCAGCUGCAGCCUCACAGGCCUUGUGUCAUUUCCCACUAUAGGACCAGGGAACCAGGCUGACCAGAAGACCUACGAGGAGAAAUAGAAAGCUUGGGAGGUUGAAGUGGAAAGCCAGAAUCUUCCAGAAGCAACAUGACUCUUUUAGGCCUUUGCUGCCAGCUAAGAAGGUGAAGAAAAGUCACCACUGCAAUAAAAAGAGGGCACUUUGUCUUACUUGGCAAUAAACCACCACCAGCAGCAGCAGCAAUAGCAGCACCCCCACCCCCACCAAACCCAAAACAAACAAGAAAAGCAAAAGGAAACCUUCGUUUUCAGUGAGAGGAUUGGCAUGAAGAAUCCUUGGGACACAGGAAUCAAUCAAGACCUUUGGAUGCCCCUGCCUGCUCUGUCUCUAGAAGCCUCAAGCCCAGCAUCCCCAUGCCGACGUGCUCAUCUCUAGCAAAACACCAGCCUCUCAGCCCUCUCUCCAUAAAGGCCACUAGAAAGUACUGUGAUGCCAGGCUGCUCCACAUCCAGGCAGCCUGGGUGACCACUGCCCUUUAUGAGAAUCAGAAAAAGCUGUCUCCCGAGUAGUUGGAAUUACAGGUGCAUGCCACCAUGCCUGGCUAAUUUUUGUAUUUUUAGUAGAGAUGGAGUUUCACUAUGUUGGCCAGGCUGCUCUUGAACUCCUGACCUCAAAUGAUCCACCCGACUCGGCCUCCCAAAGAGCUGGAAUUACAGGAGAAGCUAAACGUUUUAAAAUAAGUAUAUUAUUUCUGAAUUACUAUAACAGACAUGGACUCCAUUUGAACAAGAUACUUAAUUCCAUCAAAAACUUGUCAAAAUAUACAAAUUUAGUCACAAGACACUUUACUACCAUCUACCAAAGCUGUAGUAAACACACACAUUUUCCAUCUUUGAAAUGAAAUAACGUAUAAUAAUGUUUUCCAAAAUAACAAAGAUGUCUGCAGUGAAUAGCACUCCCUUUGAUGUGGCAACUGGGUCAAUCGUGUUAACAACUGUGAAUUCAUCUUUUUAAGAAAUUCUUUUAUUGUUUCUUUUCUUUUCCGCGACAGUCUCACUCGUGUUGCCCCGGCUGGAGUGCAGUGGCGCUAUCUUGGCUCACUGCAGCCUCCGCCUCCCGGGUUCAAGCAAUUCUCAUGCCUCAGCCUCCUGAGUAGCUGGGAUUAUAGGCACGUGCCACCACACCCAGCUAAUUUUUUUGUAUUUUUAGUAGAGACGGGGUUUGACCAUGUUGGUCAGGGUGGUCUCGAAUUCCUGACCUCAGUUGAGCCGCCGGCCUCGGCCUCCCAGGAAGUGCUGGGAUUACAGGCAUGAGCCACCAGGCCCGGCCUUAUUGUUUCUAUUUGUAAUAAAUCUGUUCCCCUUGCUGCUGUCUCUGCGUUAGUUCUCCUCAUUUCUAGCUUGGGUGCUGCAGCAGCCUCUGACCGGUCCUUCUGUCUCCAGCCUGACUGCGUUUUCUCGCACCUGCUGGGCUGUCUUAGGGCCCCGAUGCCGGUGGCGUUUGCCAUUCUCCGUCUGCCUGAGGCGUCCUCCCUCCGUCAUCUGACAGGCAAAUGUUACAGCCCUUCAAGACUUAGGCAUUACCUUUCCCGCGCGGCCUUCCCUUCACUGUGCCUUACAAUCUUCUCCAUGGCAGGACAUAGUGAAACUCCGUCUCUACCACUCCGUCAGUACCUGCCACAGGAAAUGGCGGGUUUACGGAUUUGUUUAUAAGUUUAUUUCCCCAAUUGGUUGUUUUUCCAUCUUGCGGGGUUUACAUCGUCUCCUCCUCACUUGCGUGGCAGCCUGGACGCAUCUCUAUCACAGCACAUUACCUCGUUUCGUGACCACAGCGUAGUCUCUUCCCCAUCCUCAGACUGAGUUAGGGCCCCUUUGAGUCAGGUAUUUGCCUUGCUAAUCUUUGUGCCCUCUGUGUCUAAUACGGUGCUUGGUCCUGGUAGAUUUCUCCUUGCUUGCAUAACAUGUGUCUUCCUGGCUUAUUCGAUUUCUGGAAGUCUAGAACUUCUCCCCAGUGUUUCACCUGCCUGCUGAGUCAGGGCUCUCGGCCCGCUGGGGAGCAUUUUGCUGCACUUGUCAUUAGCCACAAAGCCACUAGGGGGCAGGGAGCCCCCAUCCUGCCUCAGAUCGGUGCCAAACCAGAACCCGGCAGCCUGCCUUCUGCACGGAAAUCAAUUCUCUAGGAGCUGAUUUGCUGAAAGAUCAUUUUGCAAAAUGGUCAACUCAGCAAAUAAUCGACUUGCUGAAUCUUUGAGGAGUUAUUUGCAGCUUCAGUUUUACUUAGAGCAAUCCCUGGAUGCUUAAUAUUUCAUUUAAGAAUGAGUGAGCCUUUUCUUCUCUAUUUUGGGGAAACAGUUUCUUGCUGAGCCUCUGCCUCUGUUAGUACCCCAGCGGGGAUGAACUGCAGUACCUGGCUUCGGGUUUUUGUCUUUUCAUUAUAAUGAGUUGGUUUUAUGUGCGUUGACCUACUGUAAAGGAAGGGUGGGGUUCUUCCAAAAUAGAUCCUCUUUCAAUGAGGAGACAGGUAGAGUGGGACAUGGGAAGGGCUUUGUCAGCUUUCCCCAUCAAGAUGUGUCCUGUGUGUCCCCAAAGCUCUUCUUGAGCCAUCCCAGCAUAACCAGGGUUUCCCUCAGGUUCAUAACAAGGUAGAGCAGUCCUCAAGGCUGGCGCAUGAAGACCAGUCCAGGGGGAGGGUGGAUCCCUCGGGAUGUGAUAGGCUGACAGCAGCUCCCCAAAGCCUGUGGUUUUGACUACUGUAGAGACUUCAUAUCUGAAGCAUGCCCCUCUACUUCAGCCACCCCCACUGCUCCUCCUUCUGCGGGGUCCCUUUGGAAAGCUUAGCACCACCUCAGACAUUUGGAAAACUAACUUGAGCUCCAGUCCCUCGAGGCCCUAGCCUCUGCAUCCUGUGAAGAGGGCCCUGCUGUGCAGAGCGCAGAGGGUCCCGCACUCACUUGGAUGAACCUCUAGGGCAUUCUGCUCAGUCUCAGGAGGGCAGACACUGUGGGACUCCACUCACAUGAGUAUCUGACGUUGCCAAAAAUCAUAGAAACAGGCCGGGUGUGGUGGCUCACACCUGUAAUCCCAGCGCUUUGGGAGGCUGAGGCAGGUGGAUCACUUGAGGUCAGGAGUUCAAGACCAGCCUGGCCAACAUGGUGAAACCCCGUUUCUACUAAAAAUACAAAUAUUAGCCGUGUGUGGUGGCGGGAACCUGUAAUCCCAGCUACUCGGGAGGCUGGGGCAGGAGAAUUGCUUGAACUCGGGAGGUGGAGGUUGCAGUGAGCCGAGAUCACACCAUUGCACUCCAGCCUGGGCGACAGA
RNAcentral lists this long non-coding RNA (13420 nucleotides) under Homo sapiens (human). Its description in RNAcentral is "HSALNT0344087". The stretch from base 13155 to 13271 matches the Rfam family "Metazoan signal recognition particle RNA". Lineage: Eukaryota; Metazoa; Chordata; Mammalia; Primates; Hominidae. The record is from RNAcentral.